Long non-coding RNA from Esox lucius (northern pike), 511 nucleotides. RefSeq lists it as uncharacterized. NCBI's taxonomy places the organism in Eukaryota, Metazoa, Chordata, Actinopteri, Esociformes, Esocidae. The record is from RefSeq and is a predicted model, not a curated record. The transcript has 5 exons.
GGGGAGCCAUGCCCUGAGGGAGGGGAGCCAUGCACGAGCAGCUUCGGGUGACAGCGGCUCACUUCAAGAGCAGGUGAAGCUAUUUGGGACAAUGCUGAAGAUGUUUGCUCGCACUGGGCAAUCAGGUGCAGAUCAGACCCUAGUGCUGCGACGUCUUGGAGAGUUUGGCGAUGUUGUGCGUAGCAUGGAAAACAAAAUGGACACUAUGCUGCAACAUUUCAGUGCCAAUGUGUCUGUUGGAGAGCUAUCCCUGCCAGGGGAUGUUACUCCCCCUAGACACCCAGGAAGAUUUGGUGUUUCUUGACAGCAUUUUGAGGGAGGAUAAAGAGCUCCAGGAACAAUUUCUUCGGUUUUUGGCUAUCAGAUGUGGGAGGGACCUGAAGACAACAGUGUGGAGAAUGCUUCAGAGGGCCCUCCGGAAGAACCCGGCAACCCAGGAUGCCACUGAUGAGGCGGUCCAGGUUAACGUUACACGUUACCUGAAAGGAGCAUCAGACUGAAGGAGGAAAAA